AUUGAACGCUGGCGGCAGGCCUAACACAUGCAAGUCGAGCGAGCGGCGGACGGGUGAGUAAUGUAUGGGGCCUGCCCGAUAGAGGGGGAUAACUACUGGAAACGGUGGCUAAUCCCGCAUACAAUCGGUUAACCCAGAUGGGAUUAGCUUGUAGGUGGGGGAAAGGCUCACCUAGACGACGAUCUCUAGCGGGUCUGAGAGGUUGAUCGGCAACACGGGGACGGGGACCCGGCCCAGACUCCUACGGAGGCAGCAGUGGGGAAUAUUGCACAAUGGGCGCAAGCCUGAUGCAGACAUGCCGCGUGUAUGAAGAAGGCCUUAGGGUUGUAAAGUACUCUCAGCGAGGAGGCGUUACUCGCAGAAGAAGCACCGGCUAACUCCGUGCCAGCAGCCGCGGUAAUAC
This 403-nucleotide ribosomal RNA is filed under the name uncultured bacterium. RNAcentral describes it as "partial 16S ribosomal RNA". It matches the Rfam family "Bacterial small subunit ribosomal RNA", at positions 29 to 526 of the family's 1533-position model. The record is from RNAcentral.